AGUGAACGCUGGCGGUAGGCCUAACACAUGCAAGUCGAACGGCAGCACAGUAAGAGCUUGCUCUUACGGGUGGCGAGUGGCGGACGGGUGAGGAAUACAUCGGAAUCUACUUUUUCGUGGGGGAUAACGUAGGGACACUUACGCUAAUACCGCAUACGACCUACGGGUGAAAGCAGGGGAUCUUCGGACCUUGCGCGAUUGAAUGAGCCGAUGUCGGAUUAGCUAGUUGGCGGGGUAAAGGCCCACCAAGGCGACGAUCCGUAGCUGGUCUGAGAGGAUGAUCAGCCACACUGGAACUGAGACACGGUCCAGACUCCUACGGGAGGCAGCAGUGGGGAAUAUUGGACAAUGGGCGCAAGCCUGAUCCAGCCGUACCGCGUGGGUGAAGAAGGCCUUCGGGUUGUAAAGCCCUUUUGUUGGGAAAGAAAAGCAGCAGGUUAAUACCCCGCUGUUCUGACGGUACCCAAAGAAUAAGCACCGGCUAACUUCGUG
This 492-nucleotide ribosomal RNA is filed under the name uncultured bacterium. RNAcentral's name for it is "partial 16S ribosomal RNA". It matches the Rfam family "Bacterial small subunit ribosomal RNA", at positions 29 to 507 of the family's 1533-position model. The record is from RNAcentral.